This 96-nucleotide Y RNA is filed under the name Prolemur simus (greater bamboo lemur). RNAcentral describes it as "Y RNA (ENSPSMG00000016364.1)". It matches the Rfam family "Y RNA". Rfam says of the family: Y RNAs are components of the Ro ribonucleoprotein particle (Ro RNP), in association with Ro60 and La proteins. The record is from Rfam by way of RNAcentral. Lineage: Eukaryota; Metazoa; Chordata; Mammalia; Primates; Lemuridae.
GGCUGGUCCGAUGGUAGUGGGUUAUCAGAACUUAUUAACACUAGUGUUACCAAAGUUGGUAUCCAACCCCCCACUGCUAAAUUUGACUGGCUUUAA